RNAcentral lists this telomerase RNA (351 nucleotides) under Acanthochromis polyacanthus (spiny chromis). RNAcentral's name for it is "Vertebrate telomerase RNA (ENSAPOG00000005782.1)". It matches the Rfam family "Vertebrate telomerase RNA". From Rfam's summary of the family: Telomerase is a ribonucleoprotein reverse transcriptase that synthesises telomeric DNA. Telomerase RNAs differ greatly in sequence and structure between vertebrates, ciliates and yeasts, but they share a 5' pseudoknot structure close to the template sequence. Lineage: Eukaryota; Metazoa; Chordata; Actinopteri; Pomacentridae. The record is from Rfam by way of RNAcentral.
UUUCGCGGGGACUUUCUACUAACCCUACCGAGUGAUCGCCUCCUGUACUGAACGUUUGUUAUUUUCUGUUCCUGGUUUUAACAAACUACAGGAGGCUUUGAAGCAGCAUUGGACACGUCUCGGAACCAAAAAAAAAAAAGCCAGGAUCACCUCCCUGCCCAUUGUGCUCAGUGUCCCGACUGAAACACCGUGAAACUAGGCCGUGGUCAGCUCGGCUGCCGCGAAGAGUUAGUCUCUGCUGCCCCGGUGUUUUCAUUGAGGGAAUCUCUUCAUCUGAGCAUAUUAAACCUGAGCAGGGUGACUCUGUCGGACAUCCAGUGGUCCGAUUGGAUAGCCUAAGCUCAAACAAAC